Molecule: long non-coding RNA, 775 nt
Organism: Sapajus apella (tufted capuchin)
Lineage: Eukaryota; Metazoa; Chordata; Mammalia; Primates; Cebidae
Exons: 2
Source: RefSeq, a predicted model, not a curated record
AAGAAUGACACCCAUCCUUCUCUCCUGGAGACUUGGUUGCCCAAGAAAAAGCAUGUAUAUAAAUAGAAAUUCUCCUAGCAAUAGGAAUAAUAUGAACAGUCAAUGUGGCAAAUUGAAUUAGCUGUAAAUCAGUUUUCUUAACUUUGAAUCAGGGUUAAUUAAUCUUAACCUCUUUGACUUGACAAAAUAAGAUCAGAGAGAAAGGUUAUUUUCAACAUUGAGGGUUAGCCAAAGUAAAUCAGCAAUGAUAAUAACACAAAUAGUAAUAAAGUAAGAAGAGUAAUAUAAUGAAAACUGUUUCGUUGAGCACCUAUAUAUCAGAGGCUUGAUGCUAACUAAAUACCGUAUUUAUAUUGCUUUACAAAAUUUCUAAGAUGAAUUGCAUGUUAGAUAUUAUUAUCCUCAUUUCAGAUGAAAGAAUACUUAAGUAACUUGGCUGAUUAUGAAACUAAACUCUUAGUAGUAAGUGAUUGGGCUGUGAUUGGAGCCUAUUGUACAAAGUCUUCGAUUUGCAACUCUAAUCAACUGACAUUGGCUUGGAGUGGUCUAGAACUUCAAUGCAUUGUCCAGGGAUGGCCAGAAAGAGUGCUGAGACUGAUUAGCAACAUCUGCUGUGAGCCUAAGAAGGGACUGGGGGUAGCAGAAUACAGCAGCAUGUUUCCCUGCUGCAUCACGCUGCCUCUCAAGCUAAUGUAACUGAGGGAGGAAGGAAAGUCUCCUCACCUUACAGUAUAUUUUGGUGAAGUGUCACAGUGUGACACUCUUGUGAUAAAAA